UGCAACUGAAGAGUUUGAUCAUGGCUCAGAUUGAACGCUGGCGGCAGGCCUAACACAUGCAAGUCGAGCGGCAGCACGGGAAGCUUGCUUCCUGGUG
Molecule: ribosomal RNA, 97 nt
Filed under: Modicisalibacter muralis
Lineage: Bacteria; Pseudomonadati; Pseudomonadota; Gammaproteobacteria; Oceanospirillales; Halomonadaceae
Description: Halomonas muralis 16S rRNA. Bacterial SSU
Rfam family: Bacterial small subunit ribosomal RNA
Source: RNAcentral